CAUAUUAUAUGUGCGUUUUAACUUACACUUGUAUAUUUUUAAAUUAACGUUGUUACUUUUUUAUGUGAUGGUACGAAACCAUAUGGCGCUGAUGGUAGUCGACAAAGUCAUGUCUGUAUAAGGUUUAUGAAGUUUUAGGACAGUGAAGGUUUUCGAACGGGAAAUCUGUUACAGUUUAAAGGUAUUCCGGGACACAAUUGGAAAGAUUUCUUCUUCAUAAAAUUAUGCUGUCUAAUCAUAUAACAGUGGUGCCCUCUAUUGCUUCGUCAAGAGUUACGAGCCUGUCUUUGUUGAACACAAAGACCUGUUUACUGAACGACUUGCGAGGACAACGGACGACUUUACGUGCUCCCUGAAGCACAAAGCAAAUAAAUCAUUAUAUAUAAAGUAAAUGAAUUAUUUAUUCAUAUAUAUAAUAAAAACCCAGUUUAAAUGCAUGCGUUGCAUAGCAAUAGUAAAUAACAUUCAAAUGGAGAUUAUAAAAAAUAUAACGGUCAAUAGACAAAUAUAUUAAGAGCUUUUAAAAUAAGUCACUUACAUUAUGUACGAAUCUUACUUUAGAAUAAAGUGUUUUUUUUUUUUAUUUUUAAAUAAAUUGAGAACUAUGUAUAAUGUAUUUAAAUUUUACUUAAUCAGGCAGAAUUAGUAAGUGCAGGCGCAUUAUUUGGACUUCUUGAAUCCCAAAUCUUAUUUUAACUAAAACCUAUAUUAUGAAAAUAGGUAUCAGACAUUUUAAAGAUUCUGUCUACGUAUUUGAAGUACGUAUUAAGUAUAUUAAUUAACGGAAAUGAGAAAUCUGUAGUUAGCACUGUUUGAAGCCAGUAAGCACGUGGGCUUCCAAGGUUAAGGCAAUGCACUAUGAGGGCGUUGGGCAAUUGACAUUCAACAGAUCUUUCAAUACCUACCAUGGAAAAAAACAGUAAGUAGCUAUUGAGUACGCCAGUACCUACGUGUGGGUACCCAUAUUUCGAUGUGAUGUAUAUAAUAAUUAGGUAGGUAUAUAUAUUAACGAUGGAAAGUAGGUAUAUAUUUAUGAGUAAUAAAAAUGAUAUUUAUUAUUACUUGUUUUUUUAUUAUUUUACAAUUUGUUUUUCAUUACAUUUUGAAUAUAAAUUAUUUUAUUGAUAAAUAAAUUGUAAUAAUAAGAUGACUAUAUGAUGAGACGUCAUCGAUUAUUUCAACGAAUCUAUUUCGUUCUAUGUAGGUGCUUAAAUGACGUCGACCGGACAUAAGAUUAGGCCGAAGACGGAUGUGCCGCCAUUUGCAUGCGCGACGCGGACUCAGCAACAAUGCGCAGAGGGGAAUGGAGUAGAGUACAUGGAUGUAUCAUGCUGGUUGGCGGGUGGCAGCGCCGCGCCGCACCGCGCCGCGUCGCCGCACGCCUUUGUCGAUGGUGACUCACGCAUGCUGACAGUCAUGCAGGGCAAGCUGGCGACAUCUCUGAAUCAUUGCACCGCACUGAACCAUAGUAUUAUGCAUAUGCACAUACUGAUGCCGUAGCGCAGGUAACUGAAUCAACCAUUGUAUUCUAUUCACUAUUGUGCAGCCGAACUUUUUAAGUCCUCAUAAGUGAUUGUUAAAACGUUAUUGUUACACACUAUCAAUGGGUCAGUUUAUUUAGAUAGGAAUAUGUGGUGUAGAUAGCAGGCGAUGAAUGUAGGUAUAUAUCGUGUUGGUAUCAAAACCUUAGUAAAAUAUCGACCUAUUUCAAAAUUGUGGCGGUAUUUAACUAAAUUUAGAGUUAAGUUGAUAAUUUAUAAAG
Long non-coding RNA from Galleria mellonella (greater wax moth), 1762 nucleotides. RefSeq lists it as uncharacterized. NCBI's taxonomy places the organism in Eukaryota, Metazoa, Arthropoda, Insecta, Lepidoptera, Pyralidae. The transcript is spliced from 3 exons. The record is from RefSeq and is a predicted model, not a curated record.